This 253-nucleotide ribosomal RNA is filed under the name uncultured bacterium. RNAcentral describes it as "partial 16S ribosomal RNA". It matches the Rfam family "Bacterial small subunit ribosomal RNA", at positions 524 to 776 of the family's 1533-position model. The record is from RNAcentral.
GACGGAGGGUGCUAGCGUUGUUCGGAAUGACUGGGCGUAAAGGGAGCGUAGGCGGCGUGGUAAGUCAGAUGUGAAAUCCCGGGGCUCAACCCCGGAACUGCAUCCGAUACUGCCAUGCUUGAGGGUUGGAGAGGUAGCUGGAAUUAUCGGUGUAGCAGUGAAAUGCGUGGAUAUCGAUAGGAACACUCGUGGCGAAGGCGAGCUACUGGACAACAUCUGACGCUGAGGCUCGAAGGCUAGGGGAGCAAAAGGG